RNAcentral lists this ribosomal RNA (409 nucleotides) under uncultured bacterium. Its description in RNAcentral is "partial 16S ribosomal RNA". It matches the Rfam family "Bacterial small subunit ribosomal RNA", at positions 338 to 744 of the family's 1533-position model. The record is from RNAcentral.
CCUACGGGUGGCAGCAGUGAGGAAUAUUGGUCAAUGGGCGCGAGCCUGAACCAGCCAAGUCGCGUGAGGGAAGACGGUCCUAUGGAUUGUAAACCUCUUUUGUCGGGGAGCAAAAGACGCCACGCGUGGCGUUCCGAGAGUACCCGAAGAAAAAGCAUCGGCUAACUCCGUGCCAGCAGCCGCGGUAAUACGGAGGAUGCGAGCGUUAUCCGGAUUUAUUGGGUUUAAAGGGUGCGGAGGGGGAGGGUUAAGUCAGUGGGAAAAUUGAGGGGCUCAACCUCUUAGGUGCGUUUGAUAUUGGUUGCCUUGAGUACAGGAGAAGUAGGCGGAAGGCGUGGUGUAGCGGUGAAAUGCAUAGAUAUCACGAAGAACUCCGAUUGAGAAGGCAGCUUACUAACGCUCCACUGAC